AUUGAACGCUGGCGGAAUGCUUUACACAUGCAAGUCGAACGAUGAACCUUAGCUUGCUAAGGGGAUUAGUGGCGAACGGGUGAGUAAUGUAUCGGAACGUAUCCAAUAAUGGGGGAUAACUAGUCGAAAGAUUAGCUAAUACCGCAUACGUCCUACGGGAGAAAGCUAGGGACCUUCGGGCCUGGCGUUAAUGGAGCGGCCGAUAUCUGAUUAGCUAGUUGGUGGGGUAAAGGCUCACCAAGGGGACGAUCAGUAGCUGGUCUGAGAGGACGACCAGCCACACUGGAACUGAGACACGGUCCAAACUCCUACGGGAGGCAGCAGGGGGGAAUUUUGGACAAUGGGCGAAAGCCUGAUCCGGCCAUUCCGCGUGAGUGAAGAAGGCCUUCGGGUUGUAAAGCUCUUUCGCAAGGGAAGAAAACUUAAGCUCUAACAUAGCUUGAGGUUGACGGUACCUUGAUAAGAAGCACCGGCUAACUACGUGCCAGCCGCCGCAGUAA
Molecule: ribosomal RNA, 500 nt
Filed under: uncultured bacterium
Lineage: Bacteria
Description: partial 16S ribosomal RNA
Rfam family: Bacterial small subunit ribosomal RNA
Source: RNAcentral